GGCAUUUAGCUCAGUUGGUUAGAGCGCUACAUUGACAUUGUAGAGGUCACUGGUUCGAAUCCAGUAUUGCCC
RNAcentral lists this transfer RNA (72 nucleotides) under marine eukaryotic metagenome. It matches the Rfam family "tRNA". From Rfam's summary of the family: Transfer RNA (tRNA) molecules are approximately 80 nucleotides in length. Their secondary structure includes four short double-helical elements and three loops (D, anti-codon, and T loops). The record is from RNAcentral.